AGGAGAGAAUCGUAAUUUUGAACUUUCUAUGUCCUUUUCCAGGUUUGUGCAUUUGACUCAGCUACAGCAGUAGUUGCACCGGGAGGGGCAAAAUGUCACCCAAGAGGUAGAGAAGAAAAAAUAGCAAUUGAGGCACCAGUGUCACGUGAUUCAGGGUUGAUGUCCAGCCCAGAGCAUGGCUGUCCCGAAGGUGUCAUAGCAGUAGUGGCCCUCUGGAGCUGUUGUUUCCUCUAGGAAGAAAUACAGCCUUUUAGGUGAGGCCUGUACUCAGCAUUAUACAUUUCAGUAUUAGAAGUUAAGCUUCUGUAUUAGUUUAACCUUAUAAAAACUAGAGCUAUUCACAUAAAU
RNAcentral lists this long non-coding RNA (348 nucleotides) under Felis catus (domestic cat). RNAcentral describes it as "lncRNA (ENSFCAG00000040489.2)". The record is from RNAcentral. Lineage: Eukaryota; Metazoa; Chordata; Mammalia; Carnivora; Felidae.